UGCAGCAGGUUCGAGCCGAACGCAGUGAGGCACCGGAGCCGUUUACGGCGACGGCCCGAAGGGCGAGCGAAGCGAGUCAUCCUGCACGACCCACCA
RNAcentral lists this small RNA (96 nucleotides) under Enterobacter sp. RNAcentral describes it as "partial RtT sRNA". It matches the Rfam family "RtT RNA", at positions 33 to 130 of the family's 130-position model. Rfam says of the family: This family represents a bacterial cis-regulatory element known as RtT RNA. The exact function of RtT is unknown although it is thought that it may be involved in changing the cellular response in relation to amino acid starvation. The record is from RNAcentral. Lineage: Bacteria; Pseudomonadati; Pseudomonadota; Gammaproteobacteria; Enterobacterales; Enterobacteriaceae.